Molecule: ribosomal RNA, 256 nt
Filed under: uncultured bacterium
Lineage: Bacteria
Description: partial 16S ribosomal RNA
Rfam family: Archaeal small subunit ribosomal RNA
Source: RNAcentral
UAAUACCCGCGCCCCAAGUGGUGGUCGAUAUUAUUGAGCCUAAAACGUCCGUAGCCGGUCUUCUAAAUCCUUGGGUAAAUCGGGCAGCUUAACUGUCCGAAGUCCGGGGAGACUGGGAGACUUGGGACCGGGAGAGGUCAGAGGUACUUCUGGGGUAGGGGUAAAAUCCUGUAAUCCUGGAAGGACCACCGGUGGCGAAGGCGUCUGACUAGAACGGAUCCGACGGUGAGGGACGAAGCCCUGGGGCGCAAACGGG